UACGGGGGGGGUAAGCGUUGUUCGGAAUUACUGGGCGUAAAGGGCGCGUAGGCGGCCCGCUAAGUCGAACGUGAAAUCCCCGAGCUCAACUCGGGAACUGCGUCCGAUACUGGCGGGCUUGAAUCCGGGAGAGGGAUGCGGAAUUCCAGGUGUAGCGGUGAAAUGCGUAGAUAUCUGGAGGAACACCGGUGGCGAAGGCGGCAUCCUGGACCGGCAUUGACGCUGAGGCGCGAAAGCUAGGGGAGCAAACGGG
This 253-nucleotide ribosomal RNA is filed under the name uncultured bacterium. RNAcentral's name for it is "partial 16S ribosomal RNA". It matches the Rfam family "Bacterial small subunit ribosomal RNA", at positions 524 to 776 of the family's 1533-position model. The record is from RNAcentral.